GAUGAACGCUGGCGGCGUGCCUAAUACAUGCAAGUCGAGCGAACGGACGAGAAGCUUGCUUCUCUGAUGUUAGCGGCGGACGGGUGAGUAACACGUGGAUAACCUACCUAUAAGACUGGGAUAACUUCGGGAAACCGUAGCUAAUACCGGAUAAUAUUUUGAACCGCAUGGUUCAAAAGUGAAAGACGGUCUUGCUGUCACUUAUAGAUGGAUCCGCGCUGCAUUAGCUAGUUGGUAAGGUAACGGCUUACCAAGGCAACGAUGCAUAGCCGACCUGACAGGGUGAUCGGCGACACUGGGACUGAGACGCGGUACAGACUCCUACGGGAGGCAGCAGUAGGGAAUCUUCCGAAAUGGGCGAAAUCCUGACGGAGCAACGCAGCGUGAGUGAUGAAGGUCUUCGGAUCGUAAAACUCUGUUAUUAGGGAAGAACAUAUGUGUAAGUAACUGUGCACAUCUUGACGGUACCUAAUCAGAAAGCCACGGCUAACUACGUG
RNAcentral lists this ribosomal RNA (497 nucleotides) under uncultured bacterium. Its description in RNAcentral is "partial 16S ribosomal RNA". It matches the Rfam family "Bacterial small subunit ribosomal RNA", at positions 28 to 507 of the family's 1533-position model. The record is from RNAcentral.